ACUCCUACGGGAGGCAGCAGUAGGGAAUAUUGGGCAAUGGAGGCAACUCUGACCCAGCCAUGCCGCGUGAAGGACGAAGGCCCUAUGGGUUGUAAACUUCUUUUAUUUGGGAAGAAAACACUCUACGUGUAGAGUACUGACAUUACCAAACGAAUAAGGAUCGGCUAACUCCGUGCCAGCAGCCGCGGUAAUACGGAGGAUCCAAGCGUUGUCCGGAUUUAUUGGGCGUAAAGGGUGCGUAGGUUGUUAUUUAAGUCAUGUGGGAAAUACCUGGGCUCAACCUGGGAAUGACGGAUGAUACUGAAUGACUAGAGUAUAGUAGAGGGUAGUGGAAUUUCCGGUGUAGCGGUGAAAUGCGUAGAGAUCGGAAGGAACACCAGUGGCGAAGGCGGCUACCUGGACUAAUACUGACACUGAGGCACGAAAGCGUGGGGAGCAAACAGGAUUAGAUACCCUGGUAGGUCAGU
RNAcentral lists this ribosomal RNA (467 nucleotides) under uncultured bacterium. RNAcentral describes it as "bacterial SSU rRNA". It matches the Rfam family "Bacterial small subunit ribosomal RNA", at positions 335 to 798 of the family's 1533-position model. The record is from RNAcentral.